Molecule: ribosomal RNA, 406 nt
Filed under: uncultured bacterium
Lineage: Bacteria
Description: partial 16S ribosomal RNA
Rfam family: Bacterial small subunit ribosomal RNA
Source: RNAcentral
AUUGAACGCUAGCGGCAUGCCUUACACAUGCAAGUCGAACGAGUGGCGGACGGGUGAGUAAUGUCUGGGAAACUGCCCGAUGGAGGGGGAUAACUACUGGAAACGGUAGCUAAUACCGCAUACCAUCGGAUGUGCCCAGAUGGGAUUAGCUAGUAGGUGGGGUAAAGGCUCACCUAGGCGACGAUCCCUAGCUGGUCUGAGAGGAUGACCAGCCACACUGGAACUGAGAAACGGUCCAGACUCCUACGGGAGGCAGCAGUGGGGAAGAUUGCACAAUGGGCGCAAGCCUGAUGCAGCCAUGCCGCGUGUAUGAAGAAGGCCUUAGGGUUGUAAAGUACUUUCAGCGGGGAGGCGUUACUCGAAGAAGAAGCACCGGCUAACUCCGUGCCAGCAGCCGCGGUAAUAC